RNA transcript from Folsomia candida, 1581 nucleotides. RefSeq lists it as uncharacterized. The transcript has 9 exons. The record is from RefSeq and is a predicted model, not a curated record. NCBI's taxonomy places the organism in Eukaryota, Metazoa, Arthropoda, Collembola, Entomobryomorpha, Isotomidae.
UAAAUUACAUAUUGAAUUUCUCUGGAAUACUUUGAGAAAUCUGGACAUUUCUGGAAUUAUGUUUAUGAAUGCAAGUAUGUCUCAGCGGUUUUGGUUUUGUGGUUUUGGACCACGCUUUUUUUUAGGACAGCAGGAAUAUUUCAUCCACUGUGUGCAAAUUUUUGGCUCAAUAGUCGUUUGAAAGUGGUUGUGCUAAAUAUUGAGCUUAUUUGGAUAAGUGGAGUAUUUGUGGUACGAUUUAGUGAAUUUAUUGCAAGUUUUAGUCAAAAUAAAAGUGCUGAUGCCUAAUAAAUUGCCUCUACUGGAUUUUGCAAAAUCGUAUCAGCAUCGGACACAAAAUUUGGAAAUGUUUUCCGCACAAAGAAGAAAAGGGAAUAGUAAGAAGCAUUCGGACAAGGCAUCCAGUCCUGAUGAUGGACAGCAGAAAGAUGCAGAAAAUACCAAAGUACAAGUACAAGUGGAAGAGUCGUGUUCACAAGGACAAUUGAUGGCAUCUCAAUCACCUCAAAUACCGGAACUGACGCCAGAAUAUCUGCAACUCCUCGACCCCCUAAAAAACAUUUGGUUGUUCAUCAUCCAGCCAAAAGUUGAUGACUAUGGACUUGUCAUUACAGAUUUCUUCCAUCCAAAUACUACUCAUGAAAUUUCUAGCGAUAAGAGAAAUCUCCUUUUGAAAGGCUCAUUCAAACGGAAACUACAACUUUCUACAAAAAAUAAGUCGGCAGGAGGACAAACAACUUCCUCCGUGGCGAUGAGAAAAAUCAAUCUUUCCAAUUUAAGGGGCAAGAAGGUUGCUACUGUCCAGUUUGAAAAUUCAGCUAUGGUCAAUGUAAGUACAAGGUAUUUUAUAACUUUUCAAACUUCCAAUUCCGAAAUUCAACAGGAAGCCGUCAUCGCUUGUCCUGCCGGGUCAAGUCCUAGAUGUCGCGUAAUUAAAUACGGAGGCAAAUUCGAGCCCCCCUCGUACUCGAUAACCAUUCCAGAAUCGGAAAAUACAGAAUUGUUCACAGUAGAAAAUUCUCCAUCCAAUACGCACGGCAGCUCUACCCUUGAUUAUAAUAUUUUUAGACCUAACAAUAAAUUAGUUGGAAGGGUAACGAGCAAAAGUGGGUUAAGCUUCAUGCUCCACAUAGCCGAAGGUGUCACCCCCCUCGAUAAGGCACUCUUACUCGGUUUUGUAAUUGCAAUGGAUAUGCUCAAACAAGGAAAGUCUCGAAGGAAGAAUAACGAAUACGAGAGAUGAAAUAAAGUGCAUGUCGUCGAGUGGUUGGUGGACAAUCAAGAAUGAGACACAUAUAAAUCUGGUAUAAAAUGCCAUCCUAAAAUGAGACGAAGGAACAGUUUUAGUUGAACCAGAAACACGCAGGGGUUUUGUGUUUAUCUGAAAUUGUGAGAAAUAUAUAAAUAUGAAGAUUUCGAUAUGGGCGUUCGUUUUGAUUGUUGUAUUGGUCGUGGUGUGUUUAACGCCGAGCGAGGUGGAAGGAGGCAAGAUUAUCAAGAAGAUAUUCAAAAAGUUUAAAGGCGGUGGGGGUGGGAAAGGUGGUGGGCAUGGAGGAGGUGGGUACGGGAAGGGUGGUGGUG